GAUGAAGAACGCAGCGAAAUGCGAUACUUGGUGUGAAUUGCAGAAUCCCGUGAACCAUCGAGUCUUUGAACGCAAGUUGCGCCCGAAGCCAUUAGGCCGAGGGCACACCUGCCUGGGCGUCACACGUCGUUGCCCCCCCAUCUACUCCUUCGGGAUUGCGGGGGGCGGAUGAUGGCCUCCCGUGCGCCUCGUCGCGCGGUUGGCAUAAAUGCCAAGUCCUCGGCGACGCACGCCACGACAAUCGGUGGUUGCGAAACCUCGGUUGCCCGUCGUGUGCGGUCGUCGCGCAUCGAGGGCUCGAAAAAAUUGCCGGGCUCCGGCUCGGCUUUCAACGCGACCCCAGGUCAGGCGGGGUUACCCGCUGAAUUUAAGCAUAUCAAUAAGCGGAGGA
RNAcentral lists this unclassified non-coding RNA (391 nucleotides) under soil metagenome. RNAcentral's name for it is "partial contains 5.8S ribosomal RNA, internal transcribed spacer 2, and large subunit ribosomal RNA". The stretch from base 1 to 122 matches the Rfam family "5.8S ribosomal RNA", at positions 35 to 154 of the family's 154-position model. The record is from RNAcentral.